Long non-coding RNA from Rana temporaria (common frog), 602 nucleotides. RefSeq lists it as uncharacterized. NCBI's taxonomy places the organism in Eukaryota, Metazoa, Chordata, Amphibia, Anura, Ranidae. The transcript is spliced from 3 exons. The record is from RefSeq and is a predicted model, not a curated record.
CCUAAAAGAGGAUACUUAAACAGAACGGAUCCCUGACCACCUACCUCUAAACGAAGAUAGCAUCUGCUCAGGGAUUGCGGGACUCUGAUUCCUGAUGGCUGAAGCAGGAAAGUCCCAUUUUCUGGACGCACAGAGGGCCACCUUAGUACGAGACAUCAGUGAAGUGGCAUCAACAUUGGAUAUAUUGCUGGAGAAGAGGAUGCUGACCAUGGAGCAGUACUCCAAUAUACUAUCGCAACCGACCACCCAGCAGAAGAUGAGAAAAUUGCUGGAUUAUAGCCGGGGGUGGAGCUUGCCCUCCAGGGAAAAGCUUGCCCGCUUUCUGAAAGAUGAAAAUACGAAGGUCGCCGUAUUUAAGCACUGGAAGCCGAUCUCCAGUUCACCUGCUGUAAAAAAACAAGUAGUACUCACGUAUGAAGUGCAUCCGUAUAGAUGAUAUUAGAUGAAAAUUUACGGCGCUAUAUAAAUAAAUCAUUCUGUCAUUGGCCCAGUGCCUCUAAGGGGAAGACUCGGGAUCCUGACAUUGUAUCAAUUGUUUUUCUUCUAUAAUCUUGUUACUUUGUGUAAUGUUUCUAAAUAAACUACAGUGCCUGGAAAAAGUA